CGCAGGGUCGAAAUACAUGAAUAUAAACCAGCGAUUUGCAGACUUUUUCCUUUUCGAAGCCUUCUGCGUGCUGGAUACUGUUUGGCAUCGCAUGCGUCUUGAAGUGAGUGCUGUGUCGUUUUUGUUGCUCUCCCUCAGGAAUAAAAGGUCGUGGAAGAACAUCCAUAAAACACUGUGAUGGAACACGGGAGGAAUGCGUCAGAUGAUCAGAUCGCCCCUUCAGGGCGGUGAUGGAUGGGAAGCAUCUUUCAAGGCGA
This is a long non-coding RNA of Gasterosteus aculeatus aculeatus (three-spined stickleback), 257 nucleotides long. The record is from Ensembl. NCBI's taxonomy places the organism in Eukaryota, Metazoa, Chordata, Actinopteri, Perciformes, Gasterosteidae.